This 69-nucleotide transfer RNA is filed under the name Urocitellus parryii (Arctic ground squirrel). RNAcentral's name for it is "Spermophilus parryii (Arctic ground squirrel) tRNA". It matches the Rfam family "tRNA". Rfam says of the family: Transfer RNA (tRNA) molecules are approximately 80 nucleotides in length. Their secondary structure includes four short double-helical elements and three loops (D, anti-codon, and T loops). RNAcentral also lists the same sequence under 1 other name. Lineage: Eukaryota; Metazoa; Chordata; Mammalia; Rodentia; Sciuridae. The record is from Rfam by way of RNAcentral.
GGGGUUGUGGCUUAGUGGUAGAGCACUUGCCUAGCAAGUGUGAGGCACUGGGUUCGAUUCUCAGCACCA